Long non-coding RNA from Eucalyptus grandis, 695 nucleotides. RefSeq lists it as uncharacterized. The transcript has 5 exons. The record is from RefSeq and is a predicted model, not a curated record. NCBI's taxonomy places the organism in Eukaryota, Viridiplantae, Streptophyta, Magnoliopsida, Myrtales, Myrtaceae.
GUCUAAACAUCUGAACUGGACUUGCAGGUUCAUUGAUGCCUUCUGUGUUUGUACAAUCCUCCAAAGUAUACUAAGAGUGUCCAGUGAGAGUAGGUGAAAACUAUCUUCUCAUUAUAUUCGUCUCCUUUCCAUUCAAUUGUUUUGUAGAGACCUCAGCUUCAACAGACUGAGUGGCGAAAUCCCCAACUCCUUCAGCAACCUGGUAGCAGUAGAUAAUAUCUAUCUGACCGGAAACCAAUUGACUGGAGCAGUUCCUGAUUGAAUCCUGGAGAAAGCAGAAAAUGUUGAUUUAUCAUACAACUCCUUCACUGCUGGAGGCUCAGGAUGUCAAAAUCGAUCUAUCAACUUGUUCGCAAGCUCGGUGGUUGACAAUGCAACCUCUUAUACUGCCAGAAGUGGACUUGUCUCAUGUUUAAAAAGUCAGCGUUGUCAAAAAAGUAAGUUGAUCUACUGUAUAUCCUAUCGUUAUCAUCAGAUCCUGAUACUGCAUCAUACUCUGUGUAUUUUUGCAUCAAAUUUGUCUCCUUGUCAACUCUCUUCUUGGCUAUUGUAUCAAUCUUUGAUGGUUAAUGCACAAUUGCUCUAGAAAUUUUUAAAGCCGCCUCCAUGAAAUAGUUUGUUGCUCAUAAACUUGGGAGUUUCUAUGUGAUUUUCCAGUAAGGGAAUGCAAGUUCAUUUAAUGUGUCUGGAAAGUC